RNAcentral lists this ribosomal RNA (329 nucleotides) under uncultured eukaryote. RNAcentral describes it as "partial 18S ribosomal RNA". It matches the Rfam family "Eukaryotic small subunit ribosomal RNA", at positions 1470 to 1796 of the family's 1831-position model. The record is from RNAcentral.
CCCUUAGAUGUUCUGGGCCGCACGCGCGCUACACUGACGAUGGCAACGAGUUUUUCCUUCGCCGAAAGGUGUGGGUAAUCUUUUGAAACAUCGUCGUGCUGGGGAUAGAUCAUUGCAAUUUUUGAUCUUGAACGAGGAAUUCCUAGUAAGCGCGAGUCAUCAGCUCGCGUUGAUUACGUCCCUGCCCUUUGUACACACCGCCCGUCGCUACUACCGAUUGAAUGGUUUAGUGAGGACUCCUGAUUGGCGCCGCCGCCUCGGCAACGGAGCAGCGGACUGCCGAAAAGUUGUUCAAACUUGAUCAUUUAGAGGAAGUAAAAGUCGUAACA